Molecule: long non-coding RNA, 660 nt
Organism: Pseudopipra pipra
Lineage: Eukaryota; Metazoa; Chordata; Aves; Passeriformes; Pipridae
Exons: 2
Source: RefSeq, a predicted model, not a curated record
GGCUGCUCCCAGGCCAAGCUGUGACAUCACGUCUCCCAGGUCUCCUCGUGGAAUAUGAUGUUCCUUUCCUGGAAUAACAGUAAGGAAUAAUAGCCCUGGGCAGAGAAGUAAUGUGGGAAAAUACUUGUAAUGCCCACAUGACCCCAGCACGUGGGGUCUGGGCCUGCCUGGAUCCAGCCCUGGGUGUUGGAGGACACAGGGAUGGGGCUGUGAGGGCAGCAAACAGCAAAGGUACAAAACCACAGAGAAAGCAGCUGGCCUCCUGCCACUUCCUUUGGAAGAUUAUUCCACCAUCUAAUAGAAAUCAGGGCCAGAAAGUAUUUUCCUGAGCCUACGUGCCAGAGGAAACACUCUGGGAAUAGAUAACGGCCCAAGUUUCACAAGGAUCAAAUAUUGCAAUUAUUAUCCUUCUCAGCCAGAGUCAUGACAGCUCCCACUGCAUGUGGCCACACUUCCAAAACCAUCCUGGGAAUGAGAAGCUAAUGGGAAAACUCACUAAAAACCCUGCAGCUUGGACAAAUGAAGGAAAAGGGAAAAUAAAAAGCAACACCUAAUUCUGUUUGUGUGAAAUGGCUCAGCAGAGGUACAAGAACAGGCAAAUCCAGAUAUCAAUUCCUUCUCUAUUUACUUUGUAGAAAUAAAGAAUAUUUAUUAACUUUA